Molecule: non-coding RNA, 3134 nt
Organism: Sus scrofa (pig)
Lineage: Eukaryota; Metazoa; Chordata; Mammalia; Artiodactyla; Suidae
Source: RefSeq, a predicted model, not a curated record
GAUUAAAUAUUUAAAAUUCUAAUUUUUAAAAAAAUUAUAAUUAUUGUUAUUUUAUUGGGUAUGAUAAUGGUAUUAUGGUUAUUUUUUUAUUAUUUUAUUACUGGUAUUAUGGUAUAUGUUAAGAGUGUCAAUCUAAGUACAGAGGUAAACUGAAGCAAGCUCAAAUCAUUGGAAAUUGAGUUUAUUUGGAAAUAGCAGAGGAAUUGCAAUCUGGGACAUACCAAGCCACAGGUGAGUCCUUGAGAGUUUGGGGUAGGCUAUAUUCAUAGGCAAAAAAUGUAAAGAGGAGGGAGUUAAGGCAGUGUUGGGACAGUGAAUUCAUUGAAAAUACGGACUCUUGGUGGAUGUUCAUUGGUCAGGAGAUAAGUUCCAGGAAAUCAAUCUUUCCGUUCUUAAGUUUUAUUUUCCUGAGUGCGCAUACUUGAGAUUCUCCAUUUUGUAUCCUCCAGUUCCACUUUAGGUUGAAAUCUUUUCUCAAGGGAUACAUACUGAAAAAUUUACAGGUAAAAAUUUUAAAUGGCUGGAAUUUUCUCUCAAAUAUACAACAUUAGUGCUUUUAUUUCUUGAUGUGAGUUUUUGUUAACUUUAUAAAAAAAUUCUUUACGUUUAUGAUUUGUACACUUUUUGUACAGAAGUUCUGUUUCAAAAAUUUUACAAAACAUUGAAUUUAUUGGACUUUUGACUUACAGAUAAUACAUAUAGAUGGUUAAAAAGUCAGUUUAUAUGAAAAGUGUAUACAACGAAUAGUUAGUCUUCCUCCUCCUGAUCUAUUUCCUCUCUCAGGGGCAGUAACUAUUACCAGCAUUCAUCUAGAGUUAUUUUUAUACAUGUACAAGUGUGUAUAUACAAGCAUGUCUUAGAGACAAUUCCAUGUCAAAAUUUGUAGAUUUUCUAACUUUUUUCCCCUAACUUUUAAUAGUUACAUGUAUUUCACUAUAUGCUUUACACUAGCCACUGAGUGCUGGACAUUUAAGUGCUUGUGUGCGUGUCCAUGGUUUUAGUAUUCAUGGGUUUUGAAGCAUUAAUAGAUACUGCCAAAUUGUCCUUCAAAAUGUUUGUAUUAAUUUACUUCCAUUUCCACUCACCAGUAUGUAUCAGAGGGAUCGAGUUUAAUAGUAUAUUGGUGCAUAAAUAGUAAUGCCCUCAAGAGGGAGAUAUUUUCAAAAAUAAAUGGACAUUUGAUUAUAACAGUUCUUAUUUAAGUACCUUAAACAAGGAAGAUGUGGCUUGUUCAUUUAUAAAAGUAGUACUGAGAAACGUCAACUGAAGUACAUCCAGAGUGAACGGUUUUCCCUAAAUGGUGUGGUAGGUACAUAAAUUUUAGAGAAAUGAAAGUAAGAAAACUUUGAAUUAUCCUUAGUUAUUAACAAGAAGACUAAUGAGAUAAAGUCAAAAAUUUUAAGAAAUGGAUUUUCAGGUCCUUUCUCUCUGACCUUAUCCUUGUGGUUGUUUGGUUAAAAAAAAAAAAAUGCAUAUAAACCUUAUGGGGCAGGCCUAGUUAUAGGAUUAUAGCUUGUGUUAGGUGAUUUGGGGAGGAUUUAAAGUAGCAGCAAUUUGCUCAGGAAGUAGGAGUAAUUCUGUGAUUGGGUUUCUUUAUGAACCUUACCUAGGAGGUAGGAAGAAUUAAUUGGGGCUAAGGUUAUAAUAAUAAAGCAAAAACAGUUCCUUAUAUUAGCCAGAAAAUGGGAAUAGUUGAUCAUUUUUGUGGUUUGGAGAGUGCUGUGUUUGUCUUGGUGCAGAUGUAAUUACUAAAUUGCCUUAUUUUUGUCUUGCUCUCUCAUAUUCACAGAGUGACUUUGUCUAAUGUUAAUGUUUUGUGAUUUUUUUAUGUUUAACAGAAUACCUUGAUCUGCCUGAGUGUCAGUCCAGCUCCUGGCUGCUUUCUCUUUUUUAAGAGGUUGGUUUCCCCAAGAAGCACCAUUAAACAAACAUUCAAGCACAAGUCGUUUCUCUGGAGAUGAAGGAGUAGGAAGAUGAGAUUAAAAAGCCAGGAAAGGAUGCCUAUGAAGCCAGUCACACGGUCCUCCUCCACACAAAAGGCCACACGGAGAAACCGUCCUCCACAAAGUGAGCUGGCCAUCACCUCUGCUCCCCCUUUUCCACCUGCUAGAUGCUGGGCAGCCGUUCGGGUUUACAUCUACCACCUGCUGACCCAUCCAACACAGGUUCUUCUCGACAUGAGAAAAAUCUCUGUCUCAAACAGCAGCGACUUCAGAGUUCUUUUGUGGCACAACGGGUUAAGGAUCUGGUGUUGUCUCUGCAGCAGCUUGGGUCACUGCUGUGGUGUGGGUUUUAUCCCUGGCUCAGGAAUUUCCACAUGCCGUGGGCAUGGCCAAAAAAAAAAAAAAAACUUAUGUAUAUUCUUGUUUUAAAAGUUAGGGCAGAGCCUGGCAUGAUUUUUCACAUACUCACUCUAACCAAUGAACAUUCAAGUAUCUUGUAGUUAUGUUAAAAACCACCAUCAUUAAUUCACAAGUAUUUACCUUGAUUGAUAACAGAUAGGUAGUUCUUAGAAGAACUGUAUGUGUUCAAGCAGUUAAUUUUUUAAAGUAAACUUAGAAUUUCUUUAAGUGUAACUUCAAGCUGGUGUCACUUAUUUUAAAAGUAAUACAUAAAAGCAUUUCUGAUCAUUAUAUGCAUCUGUGAGCAUAUAUUUAUACAAAUAUUUUCGUGUAUUUUGGAGAAUUUAGUCAAGAGUCUAAAUGAUUCAAGCAGUAAAAGAGUAGUUGAAAAAAGACCAUGAAGACAAAGCAGAAACAGAAGUACCAAUGAGGUAACUAACAACCUAUAACCAAGGUACCAGAACAUGAUGGGAAAUGUGUCAGCUUUCUCUAAACUUUUAUAUCAGUCUUAUGCUACACACACCUUUCAUCCCAUCUGACACAAGUAUACUUCUCAGAGGCGGAUUAAGACGGUUCUUUAAAUACCACACAUUUCUACAGUGACUAUUAACAAACCAAAGGGGUAGGUUUUGUUAACAGAAUGCUUAUGCCUCUGUUUUUAUCCACAGUUAUACAUUGAUCUCUCAAUAAUUCUAGCACUGAAUCCACUGGUGUAGCACUGCUUACUACAGACUGAAAUCUUAUAUUAAAACUGAGAUUGGGGAGUUCUCUAUUUGGCUCAGUGAUAACAAA